This 1336-nucleotide long non-coding RNA is filed under the name Ursus maritimus (polar bear). RNAcentral's name for it is "lncRNA (ENSUMAG00000020833.1)". Lineage: Eukaryota; Metazoa; Chordata; Mammalia; Carnivora; Ursidae. The record is from RNAcentral.
AUGAGUGACCUCGGGGGCCUGGUAGUGGACAUUAGCUGGUCUCCGGGUCAGAAGUGGCCCUUCUGCUCUGAACAGCAGGAGCUACAAAUCUGGUCUCACGUCCCCUCCUGCUGCAGGCGGGGCUGGCCCCCCCGGAACGGAAUCCGGGAGGGGAGGCAGACACACAGCCCGGGCUCCUUGAAAAUACAGAAACAUGGUAACGUGGAAACGCAGCUCGCUCCCAACCGCACGUACGCGAACGAAUGUUUGACUUCAGACCCUGUCAUUCGCCCUGUGAAUAUGGCCCUAUGGGGACGGUCGGCUGGAAGUCUCAGCCGAGGGCAGGACGCCCUGCCCAGGCCUCCCACCGAGACUCCAGGCUGGCUGUCUCCACCCGCUUCCCCCGAUGAGGCUGGGUGUUGAUACGAGAAUCUAGAAUAUCCCCUAGAGCACACGGAGUGCGAGAGAAUCGAAGAAGCAGAUCACAACUGGGACUGAAAGGAGGAUAUUAGCGAAGACUCCUCUCCAAAUCCAGUCGGGGUGACUGCUCUCCAGUGGUGUCUGGGAGACACGGCUCCUUCCAACCCGUGGCUCAUCCAUCUAUAGGUUACAGCUGCCAACAGCACCCUGCGGUUGGUCUCUAAUCAAGAGUCUGAAGAGGAGAAGGGUGUGGAGUACUGCGAAGUGAUCGGUGGUUAUGCGUCAAGUCUGGAAGUACUGAGAAGUGAUCGGUGGUUAUGCGUCAAGUCUGGAAGCGCACACAACACUUUUGUUCACCUUCUACAAAACAGAACUCAGUCUCUCGGCCAUACACACCGACCGGCAGACCUUACCAAGAGUCUGACCUCGACUCCAGGGAAAAGAGGAAAGAGAUUGUAGUAAACCUGUAAUCGUCUCUGACACGGACGCUUUGCUGACUAUCACUACGCCUGGCCCAUUUCCCCUUCCCGCCAUGUCUCCGGGGCCAGCAUCCAUCUCUGGACUGGGUUGGUGUUGCGUUAUUAAGACAGUAAUGAACCAAUGCAGCAACUUCAGCAUUGAACCAACUGUUAAAAUCAUGUGCAAGUCAAAUGAUUCUGAUGAUUAGGAAGCAUGUCAGUGCAAGAAAUGUAAUAACUGAGGUAAUUUUUGUUACUACUUUUUAAACAAACUUCACUGCAGUCUCUUAUAUACCAUCGACUACACAGAAUCUAAAUGUACACCUUGGUGAGUUUUGACAAUUGUGUUUCCAUGUUACUCCCACCCUAACCAAGACACAGAAUAUUUCCAUCACUCCAAAAAGUUCCUUUAGGCUCCUCUGAGGUCAAUUUAGUAAGACCUAAAUAAAUGGGAGAGACGUACUGUAUUUAUGGACUGG